This is a non-coding RNA of Caenorhabditis elegans, 135 nucleotides long. The record is from Ensembl. NCBI's taxonomy places the organism in Eukaryota, Metazoa, Nematoda, Chromadorea, Rhabditida, Rhabditidae.
AAAAGUGGGCGGGACAGUGUCAUGCGAUUCAAGUUUUCGUCGGGCUGAGCACUUAAAAUUUCCUUGUUGAAAGUCUGUAUAAAAUGAACGAGACAAUCGUUAUGAUAACAGCACUUUAACUCUUCCCUUAUCUUU